UACGGAGGAUGCAAGCGUUAUCCGGAAUGAUUGGGCGUAAAGCGUCCGCAGGUGGCUAUGUAAGUCUGCUGUUAAAGAGUGAGGCUCAACCUCAUAAGAGCAGUGGAAACUACAUAGCUAGAGUGCGUUCGGGGCAGAGGGAAUUCCUGGUGUAGCGGUGAAAUGCGUAGAUAUCAGGAAGAACACCAGUGGCGAAGGCGGCAUCCUGGACCAACACUGACGCUGAGUGAGCGAAAGCCAGGGGAGCAAACGGG
RNAcentral lists this ribosomal RNA (254 nucleotides) under uncultured bacterium. RNAcentral's name for it is "partial 16S ribosomal RNA". It matches the Rfam family "Bacterial small subunit ribosomal RNA", at positions 524 to 776 of the family's 1533-position model. The record is from RNAcentral.